Molecule: long non-coding RNA, 486 nt
Filed under: Homo sapiens (human)
Lineage: Eukaryota; Metazoa; Chordata; Mammalia; Primates; Hominidae
Description: non-protein coding lnc-AFG3L2-5:1
Source: RNAcentral
ACACGCCUGGCUACAGCCCUCCUCCUCACCUCCUCUCCUGCUGGCCCGAGGUGGGCAGGGCGGUCAGGAGCUCCUUAUAUAGGAAAUGUUUUGAAGUCACAGCAGACGGCCUGUGCCUGAACACUCUUUGUAACCCUCGCUCUACCAGCAGCGCAGCUCAUUCUGGAAGGCAAGAAGGGAUAAUACUGAAAGUGCCUGUUUUUUUCGCAGUGUGAAAGAAGAGCCUGUGCUUUGAGGAACGCCACCUCCUUUCCUUUUGUCUGUCCUGCUGUGGGGCCUGGCCCAGCUUCUCCAAGAACUGGCUCAGACACAGUGAGAGCCCAGGACUCAGCGCCGGUCACGGGGCCUCUCAAAGGGGACUGCAAACUGUCUGUGAAGGGAGGACCAUCCCUGCCGGGAACGGCUGAGCAGCAGCUGGGAGCCCCGGGAAGGGGGUAGGGGAGGGGAGAGUUUUUCUUCCUCUAGGGUUCCGGGACACACUGUGGU